This 1707-nucleotide ribosomal RNA is filed under the name human gut metagenome. RNAcentral's name for it is "bacterial LSU rRNA". It matches the Rfam family "Bacterial large subunit ribosomal RNA", at positions 1118 to 2925 of the family's 2925-position model. The record is from RNAcentral.
CUCAUUAAAAGAGUGCGUAAUAGCUCACUGGUCGAGUGACUCUGCGCCGAAAAUUCAACGGGGCUAAAAUUCAUACCGAAGCUUGGGCUUGACAGAAAUGUCAGGGGUAGGGGAGCGUCGUAUACGAGGUGAAGUCAUAGCGGAAGCGGUGGUGGAUUGUAUACGAGUGAGAAUGCCGGAAUGAGUAGCGAGAAUUAUGUGAGAAUCAUAAUGGCCGAAAGUCUAAGGUUUCCUGAGGAAGGUUCGUCCUCUCAGGGUUAGCCGGGAGCUAAGGUGAGGCGGAAACGCGUAGCCGAUGCACAUACGGUAGAAAUUCCGUAGCCUCCGAAGAUUUAAGCACAGGGACACUUUUGAAGGGCUGAGCCGGGCGUUGGUUGCCCCGGUCGAAAGGGACACGAUUGAGUGGAAGUCAGUUUGGAAAGAGGCGAGAAAAGCUGUGUGUAUAUGAAAGGAGCCCGUACCGCAAACCGACACAGGUAGACAGGAAGAAGAUUCUAAGGCCAGCGGGAGAAGGGUUGUUAAGGAACUCGGCAAGUUGACCCCGUAACUUCGGGAGAAGGGGUGCUUACGAAGGUAAGCCGCAGAGAAUAGGCCCAAGCGACUGUUUAGCAAAAACACAGCUCUAUGCUAAAUCGAAAGAUGACGUAUAUGGGGUGACACCUGCCCGGUGCUGGAAGGUUAAGAGGAGAUGUGAGAGCAUUGAAUUGAAGCCCCAGUAAACGGCGGCCGUAACUAUAACGGUCCUAAGGUAGCGAAAUUCCUUGUCAGGUAAGUUCUGACCCGCACGAAUGGUGUAACGAUUUGGGCACUGUCUCAACAACCCACCCGGCGAAAUUGUAGUACCGGUGAAGAUGCCGGUUACCCGCGACUAGACGGAAAGACCCCAUGGAGCUUCACUGCAGCUUAAUAUUGGAUUUCGGUAUUUCAUGUACAGGAUAGGUGGGAGACUGGGAAAUACAGGCGUCAGCUUGUAUGGAGUCAUUGUUGGGAUACCACUCUUGAGGUGCUGGAAUUCUAACCUGUGGCCUUGAAUCAGGUCAGGGGACAUUGUUAGGCGGGCAGUUUGACUGGGGCGGUCGCCUCCUAAAAGGUAACGGAGGCGCUCAAAGGUUCGCUCAGCAUGGACGGAAACCAUGCCAAAGAGUGUAAACGCAUAAGCGAGCCUAACUGCGAGACUGACGGGUCGAGCAGUAACGAAAGUUGGAGUUAGUGAUCCGGCGGUAUGUGAGUGGAAAUGCCGUCGCUCAACGGAUAAAAGCUACCCUGGGGAUAACAGGCUGAUCUCCCCCAAGAGUCCACAUCGACGGGGAGGUUUGGCACCUCGAUGUCGGCUCAUCGCAUCCUGGGGCUGUAUUCGGUCCCAAGGGUUUGGCUGUUCGCCAAUUAAAGCGGUACGCGAGCUGGGUUCAGAACGUCGUGAGACAGUUCGGUCCCUAUCUGUCGUGGGCGUUGGAGAUUUGAAAGGAGCUGUCCCUAGUACGAGAGGACCGGGAUGGACGCACCUCUGGUGCACCAGUUGUCACGCCAGUGGCACAGCUGGGCAGCUAUGUGCGGAACGGAUAAACGCUGAAAGCAUCUAAGCGUGAAGCCGCCCUUAAGAUAAGAUCUCCUUUAAGACCCCUUGUAGACUACGAGGUUGAUAGGUCUGAUGUGUAAGCACGGUGACGUGUUUAGCUUGCAGAUACUAAUCGGUCGUUCGCUUUUCCU